GAGUGCAGGGGCAGCGCCGGGCUGCCUGCGUGGUUAGCACCACAGUCACUCAGCGGAGGAGACCAGCGCCAGUAGGAAAGGAGCUGCCAAUAUAGUUAAGGCAUCAACCCCCUGAGUAAAACCUCUCCCUCCCAGCUCCUCUUCCCUGCUGGGAAAGGCGAGGAAGAAGCUUCCUUCUUGGGCUUUGGGGACUGGGGAGGAGGUUCCAUCCCACUUCAUCCCUGAAGUAUGUUCUUCCCCUGGGUGUCUGUUCUUACACUGCUUCGGAUUCUGGGGGCUAAUGGAGAGUCAGUGACACAGCCUGAGGACAGACUGACAGUAUCCCAAGGGGAACCAGCGCUGCUGAAAUGCAGCUAUGACACUUCCUAUAUUCCCACGCUGUGGUGGUACGAGCAGUACCCAGAUGAAGCCCCUCGCCUCUUGCUGACAGAAUACAAAGCAUCGGAUGAGGAGGAGAGCAGGAGCCGGCGAGGGUUCUUCGCCACAGCCGACAAACAGGGGAAGACUUUCCACCUGAAGAAAAACUCAAGUGAACUUCGCGACUCUGCCGUCUACUACUGCGCCAUGAGCGUCACAGUGAUCGCACCCAGCAGGGCCGCUGCACAAAAACCCGCUGGGGGAAGAGGAGGCGGCACUGAAGAUGUUUGGGUUCCAGCCGGAGAAGGACAGACUUUGCACAGCGCCAUUGGAGUCAGUGAAUCCCAUCCCUUGGCAUCCUCCUGUUAAUUGGUGUAUCUCCUUAGACUGACCUCACACUUGGUAGAGCAACCCCCCUCCUUUCAUGUAUUUAUACCUGUUCCUCUAUUUCCCCUCCAUGCGUCUGAUGAAGUGGGUUCUAACCCACGAAAAUUUAUGCCCAAAUAAACUUGUUAGUCUCUAAGGUGCCACAAGGACUCCUUGUUGUUUUUGCUGAUACAGACUAACACGGCUACCACUCUGUAACCCUUCCCCAGGGUGUAAAUGUGCAUAGCUUCCCUGGAGUGAAUGGGCCAGAUCCCAAACUCUUGGGACUGGGUGGAG
Chelonia mydas (Green sea turtle) is the source of this 1020-nucleotide non-coding RNA. The record is from the annotation of a RefSeq genome assembly. NCBI's taxonomy places the organism in Eukaryota, Metazoa, Chordata, Testudines, Cheloniidae.